This 253-nucleotide ribosomal RNA is filed under the name uncultured bacterium. RNAcentral's name for it is "partial 16S ribosomal RNA". It matches the Rfam family "Bacterial small subunit ribosomal RNA", at positions 524 to 776 of the family's 1533-position model. The record is from RNAcentral.
GACAGAGGUGCCGAGCGUUAGGCGGAAUCACUGGGCUUAAAGCGUGUGUAGGCGGGCCGUUAAGUGUCUUGUGAAAUCCCCCGGCUCAACCGGGGAAUUGCUGGGCAUACUGGCGAUCUUGGGCCAACUAGGGGCAACUGGAACAAGCGGUGGAGCGGUGAAAUGCGUAGAUAUCGCUUGGAACGCCGAAGGUGAAAACAGGUUGCUGGGGUUGUGCCGACGCUGAGACACGAAAGCCAGGGGAGCAAACGGG